Non-coding RNA from Delphinapterus leucas (beluga whale), 1939 nucleotides. Lineage: Eukaryota; Metazoa; Chordata; Mammalia; Artiodactyla; Monodontidae. The record is from RefSeq and is a predicted model, not a curated record.
CAACCAGAGCCAGGCACAAAGGAGACCCUCAAUAAGAAGCAUCUAAUCAUUAUGAUUUUUUUCGCUCAAGAAUGUGAUGAAGGGUGUGAGGGGACCAAGAGACGGAGACCGUGCUGUGGAGGCUUAUUUCUGCUUUUUGAGUCUUGAUACACAAAGGAUGUGGGAGAUCCUGUGAGAAGGAGUCCUUUGCAAUGAAGAGUGAAUCAAGCCUGUGUGCUCAUUUGGAAGAUAAUUAACCAAGAGAGCGGAUUCUAAGACUGGGUCUGGCAGUCCUCAUUUGGCUUUUCAUUUCUUCUUCCCAGCAGUGGUUAUAGAUGCAGAAACGGAGGCACAGAGAGGUCAAGCAGCCCAACGUCACACAGCAAUUGAGUAGCAGCGUCAGGAAUCGAAUCCAGGUGAUAUUGUCAAGACUUUCCUGAGAAGUCCUCCUGCCAUGAUGCUUCUGGUCUGCUAUAUUCAAGAGGAAACCAGAUCUUGAAGACCUUGUUUCAUGCUCCAAGAGGAUUAAUCUACUAAAUCCUACUAGCAAGUUUCUGGAGAACUCUACAAAUUGUAGAAAAAUCAAUACCUUCUGAAGUGCAGCCUCUCUCCAGACUGAAGCUGUUGAGAAGAUGUUCUCCACAGCCUCCGAGGACAGAGGUGUCCUGAUGUCAGGAGGAAUGUGAAUGGAUCUGUCUUGGACGAUGGAUGGGGCUGGAAUCCCCAGGCAAUGAAGAACCAUCCUCCUCCCGUCCAUGGCAAGAAUGUUGGCAUCCCCAGCUCUCAGCUCAUGUUUAAAUGAGAAAUGAAGAAAAGGCACUGAGCACAGCUGAGGGGAACCUGAACUCUUGACUUGAGCGACCUCCAAACUCAAUGGUCUAAAUUGGAUCCUGAUGGGAAAAAAUACAUACACACACACAUCAAUGAAGAAUGUCGCCUGCCAUGUCAGUAAACAAAGGAUGUUGCAGCCAUCAAGCCAUCAACCACUGCAGCUGCCCCCAACUGUGCACACUGAGGGGAUUCGGGAUGGAGAAAGACAGGAUACUGGCCCUAGAUAGUAAAGAGUGGCGAUGCUUCAGAGGAAAAUAAAGCAAGGAGGCUCCAGAGCAAGGAGGCAGAGAAUGAGGACUCUUCUGAUACAAGGACACCAUGGGGAAACAUCUAGAAACACUGCUGAUGAAGUGGUGUGUGCAAGCUUACUUAAAGUGACAUUCGGUAAGAAGAAGAAAUUUAUUUUAAAAUGCAGAAGAACGACUUGCUGGUGGUGGUUUCGUGCGACUGCGUAGGGAAUUCAGCGGGAGACAGCGACGGUGACUUCAAAAGGACUUUACAGGAUUUCAUGAAACGUUUGUCAGAAUUCAACGUGGAUGAUAUUGGUCAGGUGGCUUUCCUUCACACAGUGAUUUAAGAAUCCAGCUCCUACUAUUUUGAGAUGCUGCCAUCUUCAAUGUAGUCAUUGUGGAAAGACAACAGGAAGAAAGUGGUGUGUGUGUGGACUUCAGCGAACAGACAUGCCACUUCUGUAUACAUUCUCUUGGCCAGAACUUAUCAUAUGGUCCCACCCAGCUGCAAAGGACUGGAAAAAGAGUUUUCCUCAAUAUCCAGAAGGAAGUAAACUAUUUGGUGAACACAUGGGCACAGACGUUAUAGGCAUUGUCUCAUUUAUUAUAUUUAUGAGGUAGGUGAUAUCAUUCCCAUUUGUUUCCUGGGAAGAAACCUGCAAAGGGUCACAGAUGUGGUGAGUGUCUCACAGAGAUUCCAUCUUAGGUCUGUAGGAUGAGUCAAUGUCCUUUAUCACUUUCCAGUGUCUCUGGAAAAACAUACAGGGCAUGCACGGUGUCAGAAGGAGGCUGGACCGACUGGAAUUUGGUUACCUGGGAUAUCUUUCUGCUGUGCCCUUAAUAGCUUGGUAGAUUUGAGAAGUCACUCCCUACCUCUGCAUGUCAACUUCCUCAUGAGA